Molecule: ribosomal RNA, 308 nt
Filed under: uncultured eukaryote
Lineage: Eukaryota
Description: partial 18S ribosomal RNA
Rfam family: Eukaryotic small subunit ribosomal RNA
Source: RNAcentral
CCCUUAGACGUUCUGGGCCGCACGCGCGCUACACUGACGAAGGCAACGAGCUUUCCUUUACCGAAAGGUACGGGUAAUCUUUUGAAACUUCGUCGUGCUGGGGAUAGAUCCUUGCAAUUAUUGAUCUUAAACGAGGAAUUCCUAGUAAGCGCAAGUCAUCAACUUGCGUUGAUUAAGUCCCUGCCCUUUGUACACACCGCCCGUCGCUACUACCGAUUGAAUGGUUUAGUGAGGCCUUCGGAUCCGCGACUCGUUUUGUGGAGAAGUUGGACAAACUCAGUCAUUUAGAGGAAGUAAAAGUCGUAACA